This 442-nucleotide ribosomal RNA is filed under the name uncultured bacterium. RNAcentral describes it as "partial 16S ribosomal RNA". It matches the Rfam family "Bacterial small subunit ribosomal RNA", at positions 338 to 795 of the family's 1533-position model. The record is from RNAcentral.
CCUACGGGAGGCAGCAGUAGGGAAUCUUUCACAAUGGGCGAAAGCCUGAUGGAGCAACUCCGCGUGCAGGAUGAAGGCCUUCGGGUUGUAAACUGCUUUUAUAAGCGAGAAAUAUGAUGGUAACUUAUGAAUAAGGAUCGGCUAACUACGUGCCAGCAGCCGCGGUCAUACGUAGGAUCCGAGCAUUAUCCGGAGUGACUGGGUGUAAAGAGUUGCGUAGGUGGCAUAAUAAGUAGCUAGUGAAAUCUGGUGGCUCAACCAUUCAGACUAUUAGCUAAACUGUUAAGCUCGAGACCGUUAGGGGUAACUGGAAUUUCUAGUGUAGGAGUGAAAUCCGUAGAUAUUAGAAGGAACACCAGUAGCGUAGGCAGGUUGCUGGGACGGUUCUGACACUAAGGCACGAAAGCGUAGGGAGCAAACGGGAUUAGAUACCCCUGUAGUC